RNAcentral lists this ribosomal RNA (593 nucleotides) under Tylencholaimoidea sp. 2010_051. Its description in RNAcentral is "SSU rRNA". It matches the Rfam family "Eukaryotic small subunit ribosomal RNA", at positions 1026 to 1643 of the family's 1831-position model. Lineage: Eukaryota; Metazoa; Nematoda; Enoplea; Dorylaimida. The record is from RNAcentral.
CUAACCGUAAACGAUGACAACCAGCGAUUAGUCGGCGUUAAUAUACGACCCGACUAGCAGCUUCCGGGAAACCAAAGUUUUUCGUUUCCGGGGGAAGUAUGGUUGCAAAGCUGAAACUUAAAGGAAUUGACGGAAGGGCACCACCAGGAGUGGAGCCUGCGGCUUAAUUUGACUCAACACGGGAAAACUCACCCGGCCCGGACACCGUAAGGAUUGACAGACUGAGAGCUCUUUCUUAAUUCGGUGGGUGGUGGUGCAUGGCCGUUCUUAGUUGGUGGAGCGAUUUGUCUGGUUAAUUCCGAUAACGAACGAGACUCUGGCCUAUUAAAUAGACGAUGUAUCGAAAAGUAUAUCGCGCUUCUUAGAGGGACAAGCGGCGUCUAGCCGCAUGAAAUAGAGCAAUAACAGGUCUGUGAUGCCCUUAGAUGUCCGGGGCUGCACGCGCGCUACACUGAAAGAAUCAGAGGGCGCCAAUGCCUAGUCCGGAAGGAUUGGGUAACCCAAGUAAAUUCUUUCGUGCUUGGGAUAGGGAAUUGCAAUUAUUUCCCUUAAACGAGGAAUUCCCAGUAAAUGCGGGUCAUAAGCUCGCGUUG